Molecule: ribosomal RNA, 253 nt
Filed under: uncultured bacterium
Lineage: Bacteria
Description: partial 16S ribosomal RNA
Rfam family: Bacterial small subunit ribosomal RNA
Source: RNAcentral
UACGUAGGGUGCAAGCGUUGUCCGGAAUUAUUGGGCGUAAAGAGCUCGUAGGCGGUCUGUCGCGUCUGCUGUGAAAACUCAGGGCUUAACCCUGAGCUUGCAGUGGGUACGGGCAGACUAGAGUGCGGUAGGGGAGACUGGAAUUCCUGGUGUAGCGGUGGAAUGCGUAGAUAUAUGGAGGAACACCAAUGGCGAAGGCAGCUUGCUGGACAGUAAUUGACGCUGAGAUGCGAAAGCGUGGGGAGCAAACAGG